UGGGUUGGCCAAAAAGUUCAUUCGGCUUUUUCCAUAAGAUGUUAUGAACAAACUUUUUGGCCAACCCA
RNAcentral lists this microRNA precursor (68 nucleotides) under Tursiops truncatus (common bottlenose dolphin). RNAcentral's name for it is "miRNA (ENSTTRG00000024719.1)". Lineage: Eukaryota; Metazoa; Chordata; Mammalia; Artiodactyla; Delphinidae. The record is from RNAcentral.